RNAcentral lists this ribosomal RNA (677 nucleotides) under uncultured Bradyrhizobium sp. Its description in RNAcentral is "bacterial SSU rRNA". It matches the Rfam family "Bacterial small subunit ribosomal RNA", at positions 28 to 749 of the family's 1533-position model. Lineage: Bacteria; Pseudomonadati; Pseudomonadota; Alphaproteobacteria; Hyphomicrobiales; Nitrobacteraceae. The record is from RNAcentral.
AGCGAACGCUGGCGGCAGGCUUAACACAUGCAAGUCGAGCGGGCGUAGCAAUACGUCAGCGGCAGACGGGUGAGUAACGCGUGGGAACGUACCUUUUGGUUCGGAACAACACAGGGAAACUUGUGCUAAUACCGGAUAAGCCCUUACGGGGAAAGAUUUAUCGCCGAAAGAUCGGCCCGCGUCUGAUUAGCUAGUUGGUGAGGUAAUGGCUCACCAAGGCGACGAUCAGUAGCUGGUCUGAGAGGAUGAUCAGCCACAUUGGGACUGAGACACGGCCCAAACUCCUACGGGAGGCAGCAGUGGGGAAUAUUGGACAAUGGGCGCAAGCCUGAUCCAGCCAUGCCGCGUGAGUGAUGAAGGCCCUAGGGUUGUAAAGCUCUUUUGUGCGGGAAGAUAAUGACGGUACCGCAAGAAUAAGCCCCGGCUAACUUCGUGCCAGCAGCCGCGGUAAUACGAAGGGGGCUAGCGUUGCUCGGAAUCACUGGGCGUAAAGGGUGCGUAGGCGGGUCUUUAAGUCAGGGGUGAAAUCCUGGAGCUCAACUCCGGAACUGCCUUUGAUACUGAAGAUCUUGAGUUCGGGAGAGGUGAGUGGAACUGCGAGUGUAGAGGUGAAAUUCGUAGAUAUUCGCAAGAACACCAGUGGCGAAGGCGGCUCACUGGCCCGAUACUGACGCUGA